UGAGCUGAGUACCCGCAGAUAGGGUAUAUAUUGCCAGCUCAGUGGCAGGCCCCCAUUCAAACUAUUUCGAGCUCCAUUCACAAAUGAAACACUAGCUUCUUCCUCCGUCGCACGAGCUGCUUCUUCUCUCCGUGGCUGUUACUUCUGCUUCUUCCGUCGCUGCCGCCGCCGCCACUUGCGUCGCACAAUCUCUCUGUCAUCCCUGGUAUCGCACGAGAUCCCUCCACGGCCGCUCUCGUCGCGUCUACUCCCAUUGUUGCAGAGCUCUCUCUGACGCCGCUCUCAUUGCAUCUGCUCCCUCUGGCGCCUCUUCCAUCUAAUCUCAACUCGCUCUCUCAGUUCUUCUCGUAACCACCUCAAAUUUCAGGCACUAAAAACCAGCAACUAUGGUUCUGAACCUAUGCUUCAAAAUUGUGGAAUUUCUAUAAGCACUGGCUUUACUCAAGUGGAUGGUCGUGUUCUGCCUUCGCCAAGGAAGAGGCAAUUCGAAGAUCUACUGCACAAGAGCAGGAUGAUAUUCAAGCUUUGAGGUUUGUUACCUUAUUUAUAUAUAUAAAGGAUUCUGUUAUACUUGCUGUAUUUGUUACCUUAUUUCUGGUUUUGGAACCUUUUAAGUUGUAACUCCAUAUUUAUAAUUUUGUCCUGUGAAGUGUUAGCUCGUAGAGAAGUAGUAAUUAGCGUAUGUAUCACAUUCACAACUGUGGCGCUAACAUUGCACUCCAUCUGUUUGUAUAAAUGUCUCACCCAAUAACUGAAAUUUUUUUGCAGCAAAACCGUGUUAUUUUUAUUCUUGUAACAAUUACAGCUUUAGAUACAUGGAAACCAAGUCAUUUGAGGAACCUUAUUCCACCAACGAUGAGGUCUACUUGCAAAAUGAAAGUGAUUAAGAUGAUAAUGACAGUACCUUUUCUUCCAGUUCCACCACCAAGUUACAGUUCAGAUACAAAAAAGAAAUAUAUGAACUUGUAAAGAAGCGGUCAGAGGAGGCUGACGAUGUCAAUGAGAUAAUCAAUAACUUUUCCAUGUGUGUCAUCUCCAGGUCUAUUUAUUCAUUCACUGUUGAUUAUUGUUUUAUUGUUCAUUGCCGAUGGUCUUGCUGUUGCUGGGCAAGUUGAUACCUCUCUGUUUACAUAAUGCACUAUUUUUUACUUCAUCCUACUUUCAAUCUAUUUUUGUUCAUACCUCUCUGUUUACAUAAUGCCAAAUCUAUGUUUGCU
This is a long non-coding RNA of Arachis duranensis, 1217 nucleotides long. RefSeq lists it as uncharacterized. NCBI's taxonomy places the organism in Eukaryota, Viridiplantae, Streptophyta, Magnoliopsida, Fabales, Fabaceae. The record is from RefSeq and is a predicted model, not a curated record. The transcript has 4 exons.